GCCUCGCUGGCUCAGUCGGUGGGGCGUGCGACUCUUGAUCUCAGAGUUGUGAGUUCGAGCCCCACGUUGGGUG
This 73-nucleotide transfer RNA is filed under the name Felis catus (domestic cat). It matches the Rfam family "tRNA". Rfam says of the family: Transfer RNA (tRNA) molecules are approximately 80 nucleotides in length. Their secondary structure includes four short double-helical elements and three loops (D, anti-codon, and T loops). Further hydrogen bonds mediate the characteristic L-shaped molecular structure. tRNAs have two regions of fundamental functional importance: the anti-codon, which is responsible for specific mRNA codon recognition, and the 3' end, to which the tRNAs corresponding amino acid is attached (by aminoacyl-tRNA synthetases). tRNAs cope with the degeneracy of the genetic code in two manners: having more than one tRNA (with a specific anti-codon) for a particular amino acid; and 'wobble' base-pairing, i.e. permitting non-standard base-pairing at the 3rd anti-codon position. Lineage: Eukaryota; Metazoa; Chordata; Mammalia; Carnivora; Felidae. The record is from Rfam by way of RNAcentral.